RNAcentral lists this ribosomal RNA (247 nucleotides) under uncultured bacterium. RNAcentral describes it as "partial 16S ribosomal RNA". It matches the Rfam family "Bacterial small subunit ribosomal RNA", at positions 523 to 769 of the family's 1533-position model. The record is from RNAcentral.
AUACGUAGGGUGCAAGCGUUAAUCGGAAUUACUGGGCGUAAAGCGUGCGCAGGCGGUUGUGCAAGACAGAUGUGAAAUCCCCGGGCUUAACCUGGGAACUGCAUUUGUGACUGCACGGCUAGAGUGCGGCAGAGGGGGAUGGAAUUCCGCGUGUAGCAGUGAAAUGCGUAGAUAUGCGGAGGAACACCGAUGGCGAAGGCAAUCCCCUGGGCCUGCACUGACGCUCAUGCACGAAAGCGUGGGGAGC